Molecule: ribosomal RNA, 498 nt
Filed under: uncultured bacterium
Lineage: Bacteria
Description: bacterial SSU rRNA
Rfam family: Bacterial small subunit ribosomal RNA
Source: RNAcentral
ACGCGAAAGCCCCCUUCGGGGGGCAAGUAGAGUGGCGCACGGGUGAGUAACACGUAGGUAAUCUACCUUUGGAUGGGGAAUAACCACCGGAAACGGUGGCUAAUACCGCAUAAUGCAGCGGCACCUAAUGGUGACAGUUGUUAAAGCGGGGGAUCACAAGACCUCGCGUCUGAAGAGGAGCCUGCGGCGGAUUAGCUAGUUGGUAGGGUAACGGCUUACCAAGGCGAUGAUCCGUAGCCGGCCUGAGAGGGCGGUCGGCCACACUGACACUGACAUACGGGUCAGACUCCUACGGGAGGCAGCAGUCGGGAAUUUUGGGCAAUGGGCGAAAGCCUGACCCAGCAACGCCGCGUGAAGGAUGAAAUCCCUCGGGAUGUAAACUUCGCAAGAACGGGAAGAAUAAGUCUGCGCAAAUAUCGCAGAUGAUGACGGUACCGUUUGUAAGCUCCGGCUAACUCCGUGCCAGCAGCCGCGGUAAUACGGGGGGAGCAAGCGUUG